This is a long non-coding RNA of Asterias rubens (European starfish), 1116 nucleotides long. RefSeq lists it as uncharacterized. Lineage: Eukaryota; Metazoa; Echinodermata; Asteroidea; Forcipulatida; Asteriidae. The record is from RefSeq and is a predicted model, not a curated record. The transcript is spliced from 3 exons.
AUGCGCGGUGCCAUACUUCCUUUACACAAGCGACCGGUCGUCCAAAAAUUAUCGGACACGAAAACCCAAAUUUAAGAGAGCAUCAUGGGAGGAGGAGCACCAGUUGACGAGUCUGCCUUCGCUCACUAUGUAGGCUUCAAGAAAUAUUUUAAUUCAGACACAGUCUUCGGGAAAAGAAACUGUGUGUAUGCAGUGUAUGGCAUUACGUUCUUUUCCAUCUGGUAUGUACGCCGGAGGAUGGCUAAAAAGAAGGCUCUAGUAGCAGCUGCAGCACCAUUGUCUUAGUCUCUUCUACCUCCAUAUCACCACCCCAGAUAGUCUCCUCUCAAGCAGCUAGCUAUCACUGAUCUCAGCAGUCGAGUUGCACCCAUCCAGAUUCAGUUACCCUGCUAAGCAGAAAUAGAAGUUCUCCCAAUGACUGGCCGACCUGGCUCAUGUUUUCUGCUCAGCAAGGCAUCUUUCAGCUUAGCAGAUAUGAAGGCUAUAAGUUACUAACACAAUCUCAUCAGCUUUGACUAGUGGAUAUAUGCAAGCAGUAUAUUUAAACUACCGGUUUUCCCACAUAUAAAACACACAGCUUGUUUUUGUCUGGUUUCAGUGAAGCUAACACAAUAUUGUUCUUAAAGCUGUCAAAAUGUUCAUUUGUUCUGAGCAAUAGACUGUGAUAUAUACUACCAAUUGAUUGCUGUUAUUUAAUUUGACGUGUUAAUUUAGAUAUUUCCAAGAACGACAUACAAGAAUUAAAAAAAAUAAAAUAUGAAAACAUCAUUUCAUCAUCAGUAUAAACAAUUCUAGGCAAUUCAUAAAUUGUACAAUCUUUAUUCAGAAACGGAACUGACCUUAUGUAACUACAAUAUUUUGUUUGUUAAUAUUGUGUGAGCAGGAACAAUGUUGGAGUUUUGAAUUCAGUUUUUAGACUUUGCAGUGUCUAUGCACAAACAAAGUGAAAACUGGUUGCAUUCAUUAAAGUAAAUCUUGAUUAAACUUUGUUCAAAUGAUUUCAAGAUUUGAACACUGGCUGUUCACAGAUUUUAAUUAAAAAGUAUCCCCAGAGUGUAUGAAAUGAAUGAUAUAAUAGUUGAGCAAAAUAAAUAUUAUUUUGUUGUUUGAAAAAGA